GGAAGAGAUAAGUGCUGAAAGCAUCUAAGCACGAAACUUGCCCCGAGAUGAGUUCUCCCUGACCCUUUAAGGGUCCUGAAGGAACGUUGAAGACGACGACGUUGAUAGGCCGGGUGUGUAAGCGCAGCGAUGCGUUGAGCUAACCGGUACUAAUGAACCGUGAGGCUUAACCUUACAACGCCGAAGGUGUUU
This 192-nucleotide ribosomal RNA is filed under the name Escherichia coli. Its description in RNAcentral is "partial 23S ribosomal RNA". It matches the Rfam family "Bacterial large subunit ribosomal RNA", at positions 2757 to 2925 of the family's 2925-position model. Lineage: Bacteria; Pseudomonadati; Pseudomonadota; Gammaproteobacteria; Enterobacterales; Enterobacteriaceae. The record is from RNAcentral.